GAUGAACGCUAGCUACAGGCUUAACACAUGCAAGUCGAGGGGCAUCAGGAAGAAAGCUUGCUUUCUUUGCUGGCGACCGGCGCACGGGUGAGUAACACGUAUCCAACCUGCCCUUUACUCGGGGAUAGCCUUUCGAAAGAAAGAUUAAUACCCGAUAGCAUAAUGAUUCCGCAUGGUUUCAUUAUUAAAGGAUUCCGGUAAAGGAUGGGGAUGCGUUCCAUUAGGUUGUUGGUGAGGUAACGGCUCACCAAGCCUUCGAUGGAUAGGGGUUCUGAGAGGAAGGUCCCCCACAUUGGAACUGAGACACGGUCCAAACUCCUACGGGAGGCAGCAGUGAGGAAUAUUGGUCAAUGGGCGCUAGCCUGAACCAGCCAAGUAGCGUGAAGGAUGAAGGCUCUAUGGGUCGUAAACUUCUUUUAUAUAAGAAUAAAGUGCAGUAUGUAUACUGUUUUGUAUGUAUUAUAUGAAUAAGGAUCGGCUAACUCCGUGCCAGCAGCCGCGGUAAUACGGAGGAUCCGAGCGUUAUCCGGAUUUAUUGGGUUUAAAGGGAGCGUAGGUGGACUGGUAAGUCAGUUGUGAAAGUUUGCGGCUCAACCGUAAAAUUGCAGUUGAUACUGUCAGUCUUGAGUACAGUAGAGGUGGGCGGAAUUCGUGGUGUAGCGGUGAAAUGCUUAGAUAUCACGAAGAACUCCGAUUGCGAAGGCAGCUCACUGGACUGCAACUGACACUGAUGCUCGAAAGUGUGGGUAUCAAACAGGAUUAGAUACCCUGGUAGUCCACACAGUAAACGAUGAAUACUCGCUGUUUGCGAUAUACAGUAAGCGGCCAAGCGAAAGCAUUAAGUAUUCCACCUGGGGAGUACGCCGGCAACGGUGAAACUCAAAGGAAUUGACGGGGGCCCGCACAAGCGGAGGAACAUGUGGUUUAAUUCGAUGAUACGCGAGGAACCUUACCCGGGCUUAAAUUGCAGUGGAAUGAUGUGGAAACAUGUCAGUGAGCAAUCACCGCUGUGAAGGUGCUGCAUGGUUGUCGUCAGCUCGUGCCGUGAGGUGUCGGCUUAAGUGCCAUAACGAGCGCAACCCUUAUCUUUAGUUACUAACAGGUUAUGCUGAGGACUCUAGAGAGACUGCCGUCGUAAGAUGUGAGGAAGGUGGGGAUGACGUCAAAUCAGCACGGCCCUUACGUCCGGGGCUACACACGUGUUACAAUGGGGGGUACAGAAGGCAGCUAGCGGGUGACCGUAUGCUAAUCCCAAAAGCCUCUCUCAGUUCGGAUCGAAGUCUGCAACCCGACUUCGUGAAGCUGGAUUCGCUAGUAAUCGCGCAUCAGCCACGGCGCGGUGAAUACGUUCCCGGGCCU
This 1359-nucleotide ribosomal RNA is filed under the name uncultured bacterium. RNAcentral's name for it is "bacterial SSU rRNA". It matches the Rfam family "Bacterial small subunit ribosomal RNA", at positions 28 to 1381 of the family's 1533-position model. The record is from RNAcentral.